AUAAUAAAUAAGCGGAAGACUUUAAUUAAAACUCAACACUACCCAGAAUUUGGUUGUCACAUGUACAAACCUCUAAAUACAGAAUUCGAAUAAAAAUAUACAAGUCUCAGAGUAUAGUUCUCGAAUAGAACAAAACUGAAAGUAAAGAUAACUCAAGGGCACGUCUGGAAUGAACCGCUACCUCUCGAGUAUGUCCCGAAGCUCAAUCUGCUAAAGAAAAUACUAAGCCGAAUCUGAGAGAG
Molecule: long non-coding RNA, 242 nt
Filed under: Solanum tuberosum (potato)
Lineage: Eukaryota; Viridiplantae; Streptophyta; Magnoliopsida; Solanales; Solanaceae
Description: long non-coding RNA (STUB_LNC011920)
Source: RNAcentral